GACGAACGCUGGCGGCGUGCUUAACACAUGCAAGUCGAACGGGCCCGCCCCUGUUUUUGGGGGUGGGUUGAGUGGCGAACGGGUGAGUAUCACGUGAGUAACCUGCCCCCUGCUCCUGGAUAACUGCUUGAAAGGGCGGCUAAUACGGGGUGUGCCGGCUGGUCCGCAUGGGCCUGGUCGGGAUAGUUUCAUCUUCGGGUGUUUCGGUGGGGGAUGGGCUCGCGGCCUAUCAGCUUGUUGGUGGGGGGAUGGCCCACCAAGGCGGUGACGGGUAGCCGGCCUGAGAGGGUGGGCGGCCAGGCUGGGACUGAGACACGGGCCAGACUCCUGCGGGAGGCAGCAGUGGGGGGUAUUGCACAAUGGGCGGAAGCCUGAUGCAGCGACGUCGCGUGAGGGAUGGAGGCCUUCGGGUUGUGAACCUCUUUCUCCGGUGGUGAAGGCCCUGUCCGGUGCGGCGGGGUUGACGGUAGCCGGGUAUGAAGCGCCGGCUAACUACGUG
This 499-nucleotide ribosomal RNA is filed under the name uncultured bacterium. RNAcentral's name for it is "partial 16S ribosomal RNA". It matches the Rfam family "Bacterial small subunit ribosomal RNA", at positions 28 to 507 of the family's 1533-position model. The record is from RNAcentral.